RNAcentral lists this ribosomal RNA (515 nucleotides) under uncultured bacterium. RNAcentral describes it as "partial 16S ribosomal RNA". It matches the Rfam family "Bacterial small subunit ribosomal RNA", at positions 29 to 523 of the family's 1533-position model. The record is from RNAcentral.
AACGAACGCUAGCGGCGCGCCUAACACAUGCAAGUCGCACGAGAAAGGGCUUCGGCCCCGGUAAAGUGGCGCACGGGUGAGUAACACGUGGGUAACCUGCCCUCGAGCGGGGGAUAACGGUCCGAAAGGACCGCUAAUACCGCAUAAGACCACGAUCUCGAAGGAGAGCGAGGUAAAAGCUGGCCUCUAUACAUAAGCUAGCACUUGAGGAUGGGCCCGCGGCGCAUCAGGUAGUUGGUGAGGUAAUGGCUCACCAAGCCUAAGACGCGUAGCUGGUCUGAGAGGAUGAUCAGCCACACUGGAACUGAGACACGGUCCAGACUCCUACGGGAGGCAGCAGUGGGGAAUCUUGCGCAAUGGGCGAAAGCCUGACGCAGCGACGCCGCGUGAGUGAUGAAGGCCUUCGGGUUGUAAAGCUCUGUGGGGCGAGACGAAUAAGUGCAGCCGAAUACGCUGUAUGAUGACGGUAUCGCCUUAGCAAGCACCGGCUAACUCUGUGCCAGCAGCCGCCGUAA